This 497-nucleotide ribosomal RNA is filed under the name uncultured bacterium. RNAcentral describes it as "partial 16S ribosomal RNA". It matches the Rfam family "Bacterial small subunit ribosomal RNA", at positions 28 to 507 of the family's 1533-position model. The record is from RNAcentral.
GAUGAACGCUGGCGGCGUGCCUAAUACAUGCAAGUCGAGCGAACAGACGAGGAGCUUGCUCCUCUGACGUUAGCGGCGGACGGGUGAGUAACACGUGGAUAACCUACCUAUAAGACUGGGAUAACUUCGGGAAACCGGAGCUAAUACCGGAUAAUAUAUUGAACCGCAUGGUUCAAUAGUGAAAGACGGUUUUGCUGUAACUUAUAGAUGGAUCCGCGCCGCAUUAGCUAGUUGGUAUGGUAACGGCUUACCAAGGCAACGAUGCGUAGCCGACCUGAGAGGGUGAUCGGCCACACGGGAACUGGGCCACGGUCCAGACUCCUACGGGAGGCAGCAGUAGGGAAUCUUCCGCAAUGGGCGAAAGCCUGACGGAGCAACGCCGCGUGAGUGAUGAAGGUCUUCGGAUCGUAAAACUCUGUUAUUAGGGAAGAACAAAUGUGUAAGUAACUAUGCACGUCUUGACGGUACCUAAUCAGAAAGCCACGGCUAACUACGUG